RNAcentral lists this ribosomal RNA (1445 nucleotides) under uncultured organism. RNAcentral describes it as "SSU rRNA". It matches the Rfam family "Bacterial small subunit ribosomal RNA". The record is from RNAcentral.
UAGCGACAGGCUUAACACAUGCAAGUCGAGGGGCAGCGGGGGUAGCAAUACCCGCCGGCGACCGGCGCACGGGUGAGUAACGCGUAUGCAACUUACCUAUCAGAGGGGGAUAACCCGGCGAAAGUCGGACUAAUACCGCAUGAAGCAGGGGCCCCGCAUGGGGAUAUUUGCUAAAGAUUCAUCGCUGAUAGAUAGGCAUGCGUUCCAUUAGGCAGUUGGCGGGGUAACGGCCCACCAAACCGACGAUGGAUAGGGGUUCUGAGAGGAAGGUCCCCCACAUUGGUACUGAGACACGGACCAAACUCCUACGGGAGGCAGCAGUGAGGAAUAUUGGUCAAUGGCCGAGAGGCUGAACCAGCCAAGUCGCGUGAGGGAUGAAGGUUCUAUGGAUCGUAAACCUCUUUUAUAAGGGAAUAAAGUGCGGGACGUGUCCCGUUUUGUAUGUACCUUAUGAAUAAGGAUCGGCUAACUCCGUGCCAGCAGCCGCGGUAAUACGGAGGAUCCGAGCGUUAUCCGGAUUUAUUGGGUUUAAAGGGUGCGUAGGCGGCCUUUUAAGUCAGCGGUGAAAGUCUGUGGCUCAACCAUAGAAUUGCCGUUGAAACUGGGGGGCUUGAGUAUGUUUGAGGCAGGCGGGAUGCGUGGUGUAGCGGUGAAAUGCAUAGAUAUCACGCAGAACCCCGAUUGCGAAGGCAGCCUGCCAAGCCAUUACUGACGCUGAUGCACGAAAGCGUGGGGAUCAAACAGGAUUAGAUACCCUGGUAGUCCACGCAGUAAACGAUGAUCACUAGCUGUUUGCGAUACACUGUAAGCGGCACAGCGAAAGCGUUAAGUGAUCCACCUGGGGAGUACGCCGGCAACGGUGAAACUCAAAGGAAUUGACGGGGGCCCGCACAAGCGGAGGAACAUGUGGUUUAAUUCGAUGAUACGCGAGGAACCUUACCCGGGUUUGAACGCAUUCGGACCGAGGUGGAAACACCUUUUCUAGCAAUAGCCGUUUGCGAGGUGCUGCAUGGUUGUCGUCAGCUCGUGCCGUGAGGUGUCGGCUUAAGUGCCAUAACGAGCGCAACCCUUGCCACUAGUUACUAACAGGUAAAGCUGAGGACUCUGGUGGGACUGCCAGCGUAAGCUGCGAGGAAGGCGGGGAUGACGUCAAAUCAGCACGGCCCUUACAUCCGGGGCGACACACGUGUUACAAUGGCGUGGACAAAGGGAGGCCACCUGGCGACAGGGAGCGAAUCCCCAAACCACGUCUCAGUUCGGAUCGGAGUCUGCAACCCGACUCCGUGAAGCUGGAUUCGCUAGUAAUCGCGCAUCAGCCAUGGCGCGGUGAAUACGUUCCCGGGCCUUGUACACACCGCCCGUCAAGCCAUGGGAGCCGGGGGUACCUGAAGUCCGUAACCGAAAGGAUCGGCCUAGGGUAAAACUGGUGACUGGGGCUAAGUCGU